RNAcentral lists this ribosomal RNA (250 nucleotides) under uncultured bacterium. RNAcentral's name for it is "partial 16S ribosomal RNA". It matches the Rfam family "Bacterial small subunit ribosomal RNA", at positions 524 to 773 of the family's 1533-position model. The record is from RNAcentral.
UACGGAGGGAGCAAGCGUUGUCCGGAUUUACUGGGCGUAAAGAGCGCGUAGGUGGUCCAUUAAGUCGGCUGUGAAAUCGCUGGGCCUAACCCAGCUGGGUCAGUCGAUACUGGUGGACUCGAGUUCGGGAGAGGGAAGUGGAAUUGCUGGUGUAGCGGUGGAAUGCGUAGAUAUCAGCAAGAACACCGGUGGCGAAGGCGACUUCCUGGACCGAUACUGACGCUGAGGCGCGAAAGCUAGGGGAGCGAAC